GGGCCUGUAGUCUAACGGAUAGGAUACAGGGCUUCGGACCCUGCGGUCUGGGUUCGAAUCCCAGCAGGCUCG
This 72-nucleotide transfer RNA is filed under the name Candidatus Woesearchaeota archaeon. RNAcentral describes it as "tRNA-Arg". It matches the Rfam family "tRNA". Rfam says of the family: Transfer RNA (tRNA) molecules are approximately 80 nucleotides in length. Their secondary structure includes four short double-helical elements and three loops (D, anti-codon, and T loops). Further hydrogen bonds mediate the characteristic L-shaped molecular structure. tRNAs have two regions of fundamental functional importance: the anti-codon, which is responsible for specific mRNA codon recognition, and the 3' end, to which the tRNAs corresponding amino acid is attached (by aminoacyl-tRNA synthetases). tRNAs cope with the degeneracy of the genetic code in two manners: having more than one tRNA (with a specific anti-codon) for a particular amino acid; and 'wobble' base-pairing, i.e. permitting non-standard base-pairing at the 3rd anti-codon position. The record is from RNAcentral. Lineage: Archaea; Nanobdellati; Candidatus Woesearchaeota.